RNAcentral lists this ribosomal RNA (495 nucleotides) under uncultured bacterium. RNAcentral describes it as "partial 16S ribosomal RNA". It matches the Rfam family "Bacterial small subunit ribosomal RNA", at positions 28 to 507 of the family's 1533-position model. The record is from RNAcentral.
GACGAACGCUGGCGGCGUGCCUAAUACAUGCAAGUAGAACGCUGAAGGAGGAGCUUGCUUCUCCGGAUGAGUUGCGAACGGGUGAGUAACGCGUAGGUAACCUGCCUGGUAGCGGGGGAUAACUAUUGGAAACGAUAGCUAAUACCGCAUAACAGUAGAUGUUGCAUGACAUUUGCUUAAAAGGUGCAAUUGCAUCACUACCAGAUGGACCUGCGUUGUAUUAGCUAGUUGGUGAGGUAACGGCUCACCAAGGCGACGAUACAUAGCCGACCUGAGAGGGUGAUCGGCCACACUGGGACUGAGACACGGCCCAGACUCCUACGGGAGGCAGCAGUAGGGAAUCUUCGGCAAUGGACGGAAGUCUGACCGAGCAACGCCGCGGGAGUGAAGAAGGUUUUCGGAUCGUAAAGCUCUGUUGUAAGAGAAGAACGAGUGUGAGAGUGGAAAGUUCACACUGUGACGGUAUCUUACCAGAAAGGGACGGCUAACUACGUG